GAUGAACGCUGGCGGCGUGCCUAAUACAUGCAAGUCGAGCGAACAGAUGAGGAGCUUGCUCCUCUGACGUUAGCGGCGGACGGGUGAGUAACACGUGGAUAACCUACCUAUAAGACUGGGAUAACUUCGGGAAACCGGAGCUAAUACCGGAUAAUAUAUUGAACCGCAUGGUUCAAUAGUGAAAGACGGUUUUGCUGUCACUUAUAGAUGGAUCCGCGCCGCAUUAGCUAGUUGGUAAGGUAACGGCUUACCAAGGCAACGAUGCGUAGCCGACCUGAGAGGGUGAUCGGCCACACUGGAACUAAGACACGGUCCAGACUCCUACGGGAGGCAGCAGUAGGGAAUCUUCCGCAAUGGGCGAAAGCUUGACGGAGCAACGACGCGUGAGUGAUGAAGGUCUUCGGAUCGUAAAACUCUGUUAUUAGGGAAGAACAAAUGUGUAAGUAACUAUGCACGUCUUGACGGUACCUAAUCAGAAAGCCACGGCUAACUACGUG
Molecule: ribosomal RNA, 497 nt
Filed under: uncultured bacterium
Lineage: Bacteria
Description: partial 16S ribosomal RNA
Rfam family: Bacterial small subunit ribosomal RNA
Source: RNAcentral